Molecule: unclassified non-coding RNA, 200 nt
Filed under: rhizosphere metagenome
Description: partial ribosomal RNA internal transcribed spacer region
Source: RNAcentral
UAUUAAGCAAAGCCGGGUACAAGAGCCACCGCUUCGGCGCAACUCUGUCAUGGUGGCGCGAAUAUUCACCCAUGUUUUUGCGUACUUCUUGUUUCCUUGGUGGGCUUGCCCGCCAUGAGGACAUCAAAAACCCUUUGUAGUAGCAGUAACUUCAGUUAAUAAUAAAUAUUAAAACUUUCAACAACGGAUCUCUUGGUUCU